GUGAUUUCUUUGGCAACACAUAUACUAAAUAUUGAAGCAAUGCAGAGAUUAGGAUGGUCCCUGUGCGUGGUUGACAAGCAAAUUUGUAAAGCAUUUUAUAUUUUA
Dipodomys spectabilis (banner-tailed kangaroo rat) is the source of this 105-nucleotide small nuclear RNA. The record is from RefSeq and is a predicted model, not a curated record. Lineage: Eukaryota; Metazoa; Chordata; Mammalia; Rodentia; Heteromyidae.